UCAAAUCAGACGGUAUAAACUCUGGACUUCUUUUACGCUUUCGUCAAUCGUUAGACGACGACAAUAUGUAUGUCAUUCCGCAUUGUAUCUUUGGGGUUCUUCUUUUAGUUCUUUCAACUUCAGGGGUCCGUGAUCAAACGAGCAAGAGGUAUCCCUUGAUAGUUGUGUCUUCUGAUGGUUUAGGAUGGCAGUUUGUGUCCGGAAAUUUGACCGACACACCUAACUUUGACUACCUGGCUGAGACAGGCGUCUGGGCCAAGAACAUGCUAACGGUGAACCCAACUACAACGUUCCCGACUCAUACCACAUUCGUGACCGGACUUUGGCCCGAAAGCCAUGGCAUCGUCGCUAACGAUUUCUACGACCCACUGUACGAUGAGACGUUUCAUAUCGAGACUGAUUGCACUAACUUUGAUCCGAAAUUCUACAACGAGUCCGAGCCUAUUUGGCUAACUAUGGAAAAAAGGGGGCGAAAAUCAGCCACGUAUUUCUGGCCGUCGAGCACAAGUUAUGAGCGAAGACCGAGUUUCUUUGCUGACCAUGUUUGCUCGGUUAAUUGUUCCAAGUACAAGGGAGAGGAUUUAAAACAGUUAAGAAAAAUUUAUAACGGUUAUCACUGCAAGUUUGAUUGGUUUAAUGACCCUUACUGGAACAGAAUAGAGACUGCGAUCAAAUGGCUCAAAUCAGAACAGCCUCCAGAGCUGUUGCUACUCUACUUUGAGCAAACAGACUACGAUGGCCACAAGUAUGGGCCCAAUAGCAAAGAAUAUCUGCGAUCGGUGGAGACCACGGACAGACACGCGGUAGGCUACCUCAUCACACAGCUCAGGAUGAACGGGUUAUUAGAGAAAGUGAAUCUGAUGGUCUUGUCAGAUCACGGCAUGGUGGAGACGAGCAGCGAGAGACAGAUUGACGUGUUUAGAUACGUCAGCAGCCAUCUGUACCACGAGCCGGGAAUGUGGGUAAAACCGGAGCUGGUGGGAAGCGUUUACAAAGAGCUACAGGGCAUACCGCACGCGAAGGUGUACCUUCGUAAGGAUGUCCCAGAAGAGUACCAUUCCCGCAACAACAGACGAUACCCCCCGCUCUUUCUGGACGUGGAGAUGGGAUGGUCAGAGCGCUACGAAUGGUACAGCAAGUACCACGAAGGGACAUGGACACGGGGGAACCACGGAUGGGCGCCUAACGAAGAGCUCGCAGCACUAUUCUACGCCAGAGGGCCAUCAUUCAAGGAGGGCUACUACGCAAAUAGGUCCCUUCGCGCAGUUGACCUCUACCCUUUAAUGUGCCACCUACUUGAUAUGGAGCCUCUUCCGAAUAAUGGUUCUCUUGACAACAUGAUGGAUUUGCUGAGAGAGCCUGAGCCCGAAACAGUCACGGAGCAGCCAACUGAGAGACUGAAUGUCACGCAAUUUGUUAAUGUCACGGUUUCUAAUGUUACUGCACGUAUUGCAUGCCCAGCACACUGUGCUGGUGUGACCAUUGUGACAGCUAGCGUGACUCUUAUUGUUGUAUUAUUAGCAACUGUAAACAGCUUGUAAGGGCCUAUUUGCACUAGGCAAAAUUUUGUUUGUUUUGUUAAAAAAUGGCCAGGACAAUUUUUGUCGCAGCCGAGCAAUUUCAAAGGUGCAGCUGGCCUGCUCUUGAGCACGCCAGAAAUAGGCCAAACGUCAAAUCUGACAGGUUUUUUCAAUCAACACCAAGCUUGACUUGAGCAGAAGUUGUUGUUCUUGAUAUUUAUAGAAUGAUUUACUACCAAGGCGAUGAGUUGCGCAAAAAUAUUCCGAGAAAGCAUUGUGAUCAAACGUAAACAAACCCUGCAAAUCAGCUUUUUCGCGUGAGAAAUCCGAGUCUAAUUUUGAAUGACGUUUGGGUCGCGUUCGGCUUUUUGUCUGACCUCUAGUGCGAAUGCGAUUUACAAGCCAAUCGAUCGGCCAGGACAAAAUUUGGUUUGCUGUUUGUCCCGGCCAGACAAACUUUGUCCUCCUAGUGUGAUUAGGCCAUAAGGUGCUGCUUUAUGAGCAUCACACAGCAAAAGUAUUUAUUUGCAUCGGCUAAUCGAGCUAAUUUUCUAGAGUUAUAGAGGGAAUUUCGCAUGGAUAUCCAUCAAUGGCGACUGGCGAUGCUGUCAACAAAGAACACGAGACGUUUGGCGUUGCCAAAUAUUCCCAGAAAUUUGUGGCUGCCUGUGGUCAAGUCUCCUCCGAUCUGGAGUGUUUAUUUGCUUGUCAAACUAACCCACAAUGCCUAUCAAGGCGGGUAUACAAAUCAACCCAAUGCCAAUUACGGCGGGUAGUAAAAUAUACCCAAUGCCUAUGGACUGGUGGCGUAUGGGAUUCAAUGAUCAGUCCAAACCCCGUUGCCUGAUGGAUGUAUGGCUUUGGGUAAAGAAACAGCCAAAAAAUUAUACAAUGCUAUACAAAUGCUAUUCAAUGCUAUACAAAUGCCAUUCAAUGUUAUACAAAUGCUAUAUAAAUCUGAAAAUCAGCUGACCCAAUGCCUAACAUGGCGGGAAUAUAAUAUUGAGCCCAAGAUGGGUGGAAAUUUGUUACAAAGGGCCAGUGAGCCUCAUUACAGAUUGCCAAUUAUUGACAACAGUCAAAUCACAACUUUGAAAGCUGCUGUGACCUCAGACUCGUGUAUUUGUUUGACUAAUUGUUAUGUUCAAGAUGCUCUGAAUUUCCAAAUUUAAGAGGAGGCAUGGAUUGCAAUAGUUGCAGCAAGGAAUUUAUUUUACACUUUUCAACGAUAGACUAUAAAUAAAAUAAUGGGGGAUCGGGGAUGUGAAAAGAACG
Molecule: RNA transcript, 2795 nt
Organism: Nematostella vectensis (starlet sea anemone)
Lineage: Eukaryota; Metazoa; Cnidaria; Anthozoa; Actiniaria; Edwardsiidae
Gene name: ectonucleotide pyrophosphatase/phosphodiesterase family member 5
Exons: 3
Source: RefSeq, a predicted model, not a curated record